UACGUAGGGGGCAAGCGUUGUCCGGAUUUAUUGGGCGUAAAGAGCGUGUAGGCGGCCAGGUAGGUCUGCUGUGAAAACUCGAGGCUCAACCUCGAGACGUCGGCGGAAACCAUCUGGCUAGAGUCCGGAAGAGGAGAGUGGAAUUCCUGGUGUAGCGGUGAAAUGCGCAGAUAUCAGGAGGAACACCGGUGGCGAAGGCGGCUUGCUGGGCCAGUUCUGACGCUGAGGAGCGAAAGCGUGGGGAGCGAACAGG
Molecule: ribosomal RNA, 253 nt
Filed under: uncultured bacterium
Lineage: Bacteria
Description: partial 16S ribosomal RNA
Rfam family: Bacterial small subunit ribosomal RNA
Source: RNAcentral